RNAcentral lists this ribosomal RNA (819 nucleotides) under Flavobacteriaceae bacterium ACEMC 6-1. RNAcentral's name for it is "bacterial SSU rRNA". It matches the Rfam family "Bacterial small subunit ribosomal RNA", at positions 43 to 866 of the family's 1533-position model. The record is from RNAcentral. Lineage: Bacteria; Pseudomonadati; Bacteroidota; Flavobacteriia; Flavobacteriales; Flavobacteriaceae.
CAGGCCUAACACAUGCAAGUCGAGGGGUAUAGUUCUUCGGAACUAGAGACCGGCGCACGGGUGCGUAACGCGUAUGCAAUCUACCUUGUACAGAGGGAUAGCCCAGAGAAAUUUGGAUUAAUACCUCAUAGUGUUAUUGAAUGGCAUCAUUUGAUAACUAAAGUUCCAACGGUACAAGAUGAGCAUGCGUCCCAUUAGUUAGUUGGUAAGGUAACGGCUUACCAAGACAAUGAUGGGUAGGGGUCCUGAGAGGGAGAUCCCCCACACUGGUACUGAGACACGGACCAGACUCCUACGGGAGGCAGCAGUGAGGAAUAUUGGACAAUGGGCGCAAGCCUGAUCCAGCCAUGCCGCGUGCAGGAUGACUGCCCUAUGGGUUGUAAACUGCUUUUAUACAGGAAGAAACACUGCUACGUGUAGCAGCUUGACGGUACUGUAGGAAUAAGGAUCGGCUAACUCCGUGCCAGCAGCCGCGGUAAUACGGAGGAUCCAAGCGUUAUCCGGAAUCAUUGGGUUUAAAGGGUCCGUAGGCGGCCUUAUAAGUCAGUGGUGAAAUCUCCUAGCUCAACUAGGAAACUGCCAUUGAUACUGUAGGGCUUGAAUUUUUAGGAAGUAACUAGAAUAUGUAGUGUAGCGGUGAAAUGCUUAGAUAUUACAUGGAAUACCAAUUGCGAAGGCAGGUUACUACUAAUGGAUUGACGCUGAUGGACGAAAGCGUGGGUAGCGAACAGGAUUAGAUACCCUGGUAGUCCACGCCGUAAACGAUGGAUACUAGCUGUUCGGUCUUCGGACUGAGUGGCUAAGCGAAAGUGAUAAGUA